Molecule: ribosomal RNA, 413 nt
Filed under: uncultured bacterium
Lineage: Bacteria
Description: bacterial SSU rRNA
Rfam family: Bacterial small subunit ribosomal RNA
Source: RNAcentral
AAUGGGCGAAAGCCUGACGCAGCGACGCCGCGUGAGUGAUGAAGGCCUUCGGGUCGUAAAGCUCUGUUGGAGAGGGACGAAUAAGAUGUGGGAAUAAUACCUCAUGUCCCUGACGGUACUUCUCCAGAAAGCACCGGCUAACUCCGUGCCAGCAGCCGCGGUAAUACGGAGGGUGCAAACGUUGUUCGGAAUCACUGGGCGUAAAGCGCGUGUAGGCGGCUUGGAAAGUCAGAUGUGAAAUCCCACGGCUUAACCGUGGAAGUGCAUUUGAAACUUCCAGGAUAGAAUAUGGGAGAGGGUUGUAGAAUUCCUGGUGUAGAGGUGAAAUUCGUAGAUAUCAGGAGGAAUACCGGUGGCGAAGGCGGCAACCUGGACCAAUAUUGACGCUGAGACGCGAAAGCGUGGGGAGCAAA